Molecule: unclassified non-coding RNA, 333 nt
Filed under: soil metagenome
Description: partial contains 5.8S ribosomal RNA, internal transcribed spacer 2, and large subunit ribosomal RNA
Rfam family: 5.8S ribosomal RNA (bases 1-120)
Source: RNAcentral
GAUGAAGAACGCAGCGAAAUGCGAUAAGUAGUGUGAAUUGCAGAAUUCAGUGAAUCAUCGAAUCUUUGAACGCACAUUGCGCCCUUUGGUAUUCCUUAGGGCAUGCCUGUUCGAGCGUCAUUUAAACCUUCAAGCUAAGCUUGGUGUUGGGUGACUGUCCGCUUCACGGCGGACUCGCCUCAAAAUUAUUGGCGGCCGGUACAUUGGCUUCGAGCGCAGCAGAAACGCGAACUCGGGCCCGUCGUAUUGGCUCCCAGAAGCUAUCUUCACAAUUUUGACCUCGGAUCAGGUAGGGAUACCCGCUGAACUUAAGCAUAUCAAUAAGCCGGAGGA